This 76-nucleotide transfer RNA is filed under the name bacterium. Its description in RNAcentral is "tRNA-Phe". It matches the Rfam family "tRNA". Rfam says of the family: Transfer RNA (tRNA) molecules are approximately 80 nucleotides in length. Their secondary structure includes four short double-helical elements and three loops (D, anti-codon, and T loops). The record is from RNAcentral. RNAcentral also lists the same sequence under 3 other names.
GCUUGGAUAGCUCAGUUGGUAGAGCACUUCCCUGAAGAGGAAGGGGUCCCCAGUUCGAACCUGGGUCCAAGCACCA